Molecule: long non-coding RNA, 4820 nt
Organism: Dasypus novemcinctus (nine-banded armadillo)
Lineage: Eukaryota; Metazoa; Chordata; Mammalia; Cingulata; Dasypodidae
Source: Ensembl
CACACACACACACACACACACAGAUUUCAAUUCUGACCCUGCUUGUAACCUAGGGUUUUCAUCUCUCUUUUGAUCCUGUUUCGUCAUCUAUUAAAGAACUCAGAUUCCCAAAUGAAAUGGUGUGCCAGAAUCACCUGAGAAUUUUGAAAACUACAGAACCUACUACUAGAAGAUCUGAUUUACAAAGUCUUGGGUGAUGCCUAGAAAUCUGCAUUUUCAAUAAAUCACACUUCCCUCCAUCAUGACUUUUAAUUCUGAUACAAAGCCAGACUUAGAAACCACUGCAUUAAAUGACCUUUAAGACUCCUGAUAGCUUUCAAAGUUAUAAAACUAUGGGUUGAAACUAAUUUUCUACUCUUUCACCCCAGAAUUCUCCCCCAGGCCCAUCCACUAUUAGCACAUCCCAAACAUCUCAAUGGUCGAGUUUCAGGUUAACAAUGAAGAUACAAGUCUAAAAACAAUGUCAAGUAUCAACAGCUUGCUCAACAGUUUUAUUUGUUUCAUUAUCAAAGUAUAAGGCAGAUCUAAUCACAGCUUUUCCAGAGAAUAUACAAUCAAAAGUAAACUUUAAGACAUCACAUUUUGCAAAGAACCAGCUAUUUGCUGGAAACAGUCAAAAAGAAUAGCAUUUAGAGAGAACUUUCCCUAAAUGUUAUAUUUAAAAACAGAGUUAUGGAAUGAAAGUCUACUUGUCCGUAACUUACAAAGCAACAUUACUCUAAACACUUUUAGAGAUGUCCACUGUAUAAUGUCGAGAACUGUCUAGGCUACCACCUCUUCUAUUAGCUAAAAAUCACUCUUCUAUUAGCUAAAAAUAACUCAAAUUACUGAGUUUACGCUUUUUGUUUCUUCUAGGUGCCCAAGUAUAAUCAAGAAGCCCCAGCAGGACUAUGAAAACAUUUGCAUCUUUAAGUUAAAGCACUAUGGAUUUCAGUAUUUCAUGGUAUCUCUGGAAAGUGAAAGAAAGGAGCCUUGCCCUGGAGUUGACAGCCCACGGCCCCCACAUUCUGGCCCAAGAUGAAUGCUGCCACAGAAACCGAGUUCAACAUCCUACUGGCCAGCGAUUCCUACGAGGUCACAUAACACAAGCAAAGUUUAUUCCUACUCUGAAUGCCAUGAAAAGAAGACAGAAAACUCCAAAGAAGAAAGGUGAAAUACGAGGAAACAGUAUUUUAUGGGUUGAGUACAUUCUUAGUAAGUACUUCAAAGGUAAAAGUGGUGACCAAAGAGAAAAUCCAGGAAGCCAAAGAAGUCUACAAAGAGCAUUUCCACAUGAUGUCUUUAACGAAAAGGGAUGGGAACUACAUUCUUAAGAAGUAUGAUGGACAUCUUCCAAUAGAAGUAAAAGCUGUUCCUGAGGGCUUUAAUUGCAGAGGAAAUGCUUUCUUCACAGUGGAAAACCCAGAUCCAGAGUGUUUUGGCCCACAAACUGGACUGAGACUUUUUUAAAAAAAGAUUUGAAAAAUUCAUAUUUCUCCCCGCCCUCAUUGUUUCCUCUCACUGACUGCUCAUUGUGUGCUCAUCAACUUCUUUUUUUUUUAGGAGGCACUGGGAACCAAACCAGGAACCUUCCAUAUGGGAGGGAGGCACCUAAUCGCUUGAGCUACCUCCACUCUCUGAGAAUACUCUUGUUCAGUCCUGGUUUCCAAUCACAGUGGCCACAAAUUCCAGAAAGCAGAAGAAAAUAAUGGUGAAAUGUUUGUUAGAAACUUCUGGUAACUUAGAUGGUCUGGAACAUAAGUUACAUGAUUUUGGCUACAGAGGAGUCUCUUCACAAGAGACUGCUGGCAUAGGAGCAUCUGCUUGUUUGGUUAACUUCAAAGAACAGAUACAAUAGCAGGAAUUGCUUUAAUUAAAAAAUAUUGGGGGGAAGUGGAUUUGGCUCAACUGAUAGAGCAUCUGCCUACCACAUGGGAGGUCCAGGGUUCAAACCCAGGACCUCCUGACCUGUGUGGUGUACUGGCCCACGCGCAGUGCUGAUGCGUGCAAGGAAUGCCGUGCCAUUUGGGAGUGUCCCCACAUAGGGGAGCCCAUGCACAAGGAGUGUGUCCCGUAAGGAGAACCACCCUGUACAAAAAGAGUGCAGCCUGUCCAGGAGUGGCGCCGCCACACAGAGAGCUGAUGCAACAAGAUGAUGCAACAAAAAAAGACACAGAUUCCCAGUGUCACUGACAAGAAUACAAAUGGACACAGAAGAACACACAGUGAAUGGACAGAGAGAGUAGACAACUGGGGGAGGGGGAGGAGAAGGGGAGAGAAAUGAAUUUAAAAAUCUUUGGAAAAAAAAAUAUUGGGAAGCAGAUGUUGCUCAAGCAGUUAGGCAUCUGCCUACCACAUGGGAGGUCCCGGGUUCGGUUCCCAGUGCAUCCUAAAGAAGAAAAGCAAGACAACAGCUGAUGCAACAGGCUGGCAUGGUAAUCUGACUCAAUGAACUGACACAAGGAGGAAAACACAAGAGACGCAACAAGCAGGGAAUGGAGGUGGCUCAAGCGAUAGGUGCCUCCCUCCCAUAUGGGAGAUCCUGGGUUCGGUUCCUGGUGCCUCCUGGAAAAAAAAAAAAGCAAAGCAAACAAAACAACUAAGGGGAGCCAAUGUGGCUUAGUGGUUGAGCGCCAGCUUCCUUAUACACCAGGUCUUAGGUCCAAUUCCUGGUCCCAGGACUUCAAAAAACAAACAAACAAACAAACGAAAAGAAUAUAUAUAUAUAUAUAAUGGAACAAAAGAUCCCGUUCAGGCUAUUCUGUUCCAGCAGCAGAACACAGUACCGUAAGAGCUAAGGGGAAAAAUCAUCAUGAAAAAGAUGCUACUGAACAGAGUUUUCAUUAGUGUCUGUAUCUGUCAUCAGCAAUAGUAUGACAUUUAUAACGUGUGAGAAAAUAUGGGGUGGACAUCUAUUACAUUUAAUAGUAUCAAGAGGUACAGAGACACCUCUAAUAAUCAGACCUGAUUCUGGAAAUCCUCUUGACACUAUAUUAAAAAUUUUUUAUAUCUUAGGUAAGAAGUUCCCAGUUACCAAAAACUCAAAAGGGCUAAAAAUUGCUGCUAUCUUAUCUUAGAGUUAUUCAAGGGAAUGGAGUACAUAUUAAUACCUUACAAGAGACUGUAGAAGGCAUGAAGCCAAAAAAAAAGGAGUAUUGAAAAUGUUUUCUUCAGUUCUGGUGGAGCUUUGCUACGGAAGUUAACGAGAGAGCUCUUGAAUUGUUCCUUCAAGUGUAGUUAUGUUGUAACCAAUGGCCUUGGGGUUAAUGUCUUCAAGGACCCAGUUGCUCAUCCCAACAAAAGUCCAAAAAAGGCCCAUUGUCUUUACAUAGGACACCAGCAGGAAACUGUUACACUUGAGAAACGAAAAGGAGAUCUUGAAGAAUAUGGUCAUGAUCUUCUACAUUCUGUCUUCAAGAAUGGGAAGGUAACACAAAGCUCUUCAUUUGAUGAAGAAAAAUGCAAAGCUGAAUAUCAUCUAACUGGAAGCAGCACCUCAUUAGGCUUUGUGUUAUGAUUAAGUGUGUGUGUCUACAUAGAUAAUGUUUAUUGUACAGUUGUAUGGGGUUUCUUUGUGUUUUGAUACAUUACAGCCAAAUUAUUUGUAGGUUUAUGGAUAAGUAUCUCCAUUAUGGAUAAGUAUAUCCUUUUUAAAAAAAGUGAUCUCAAAUUAGAAGACUCAACCACAUAAAAGAUUAAUAAUAAAGUAAGCUUUGCCAAUAGGUAGUAAUUCAAUCUGGUUUGACCUUUUUACAAAAAAACAUAAUGAAGAAAUUUUUGUAUGUAACUAAAGAUCACAUAAAAUGGAUCUGCAUAAAAUUCAUUACUUUAUGUUUAUAUUUACCUUGUACUUCUGCACAAACAAGACUGUGUAAAAUACAUUUAAAGUUUCCAUGGGGGAGGAGGGUAGGGGAGAGAAAUAAAAUAAAUAAAUAAAUCUUAAAAAAAAGGUUUCCAUGAUUUAAAGUCUUUCCAACUUUUCAUGAUAUUUAUGAGCACAGACUUUCAAGAAAAUACUUGAAAAUAAAUUACAUUGCCUUUUGUUCAGUAAUCAGCAAAUAAAACAUGGUGUUUUGUACAAUUUAAAAAUGAUGUCAGGACAUACCCUGUAGAAUUACUAACCUUACUGCCUCUUAACACUUUCAUAUUACUUACGAAUUCCAAAAAGAGAUAUAGAUUAUGUUUGUAAACUGGUUGUCCUCUGGUAUGCUAACCCUUUGACUGUAUUAGAUUCAGCUGAGACAUCUGAUUAAAUUAUGUUAAGAUUAAAGCUCUGAUCCAACCACAUCAUUAGAGUGAGCCUCAGCUCCCUUGGGGAUAAAAUAGACCCUCACACAGAAGUAAACACACAGAAAAGAACAACAGAGGAAGAGAGACAGUUCAUUAGACAUGGCAGAGGCCCCCGGAGAAGAAAUGAGCCUGAUAGUCUACGAUGACCCUGUGAAGAGAACUGAGCAGCUGAGCUUAGAAAGGAAAGAGCCCCAGGGAGAGAGAGACAAGCCUUAUACAAGCCUACAGCUGAGAAUGAAAGAAGCUGGGACUAUGGAGCCUUAAGAGGAAGAAGGAAGGCUAAACCUUUGCAGACAUCACCUGCGAUCUUGCUCCAACAUGUAGCCAAUGACUUUGGGUGAGAAAGUACCUCUUAAGGUUCCUUGAAUUGAAGUCUUUAGGGCCUUAUGGCUGUAAGCUUCGACCCCAAAUAAAUAUCCUUUAAUAAAUGCCAACAGAGGGAGCAGAGGUGGCUCCUUCCCAGAUGGGAGAUCCCAGGUUUGGUUCUCAGUGCCUCUUAAAGAAAGAAGACCGGCACACAACAACCAGCCACAGCAAAUGCAAACAAUGAG